GCGGGUGUCGUACAGUGGCAGUACGUCGGUCUCCAAAACCGAUAACGUGGGUUCGAUUCCUACCACCCGUGCUA
RNAcentral lists this transfer RNA (74 nucleotides) under Candidatus Moraniibacteriota bacterium. RNAcentral's name for it is "Candidatus Moranbacteria bacterium (sediment metagenome) tRNA-Trp". It matches the Rfam family "tRNA". From Rfam's summary of the family: Transfer RNA (tRNA) molecules are approximately 80 nucleotides in length. Their secondary structure includes four short double-helical elements and three loops (D, anti-codon, and T loops). Lineage: Bacteria; Candidatus Moraniibacteriota. The record is from RNAcentral.